AGACUAACACACUUGAAACAAAUAGCCAAACCGAAAAUUGCAGACAUUAUUAGUGCCUCCCCGGCGAUCAAACCGACAUGAUAAAAUAAAAUGAAACGCAGUUUAAAACGUGAUCAGAAAUCUCAAAUAGCAAGCAAGUCGCAGCAAUGAAGAAUUGAGUGCGUGCGCGUUCAAGCAAGUCGCAGCAAUGAAAAAGUAAGUGCGUGCGCGUUCACGCGAAGGAGGGGGAGUGAAUUCUGGCAGUGGGGAGCUUUUCGGCACAGCACCGGUAUUGGCAACGUCAUACCGAAGAGGAAAAUCAGGUGAGUUUUUUUAGGAUUGGACAGUUAACGUUUGCAUGUUGAUUGAGUCUUAGUUAUUAGCGAGUUCUAUGAAGAUGUCGUGCAAAAAAAAAUAAUUAUAUUAAAACCAUGAAAUAGUACAACCGGUCCUAUUUUUUUUUGUAACAAACUUCUGUAUGUCAAUCCAAAGAAUUCUGUUUUGGAAUUAAUUAAUUAAUAUUCUUUCAGGGUUAUUUAAAUUUUAUCAAGGAAUUCCCCAUAUGAGAGUAGAUAUCCAUCCUCAUUCAGUAACUGACCAACCAAAAAAUUUUAUUCUCAAACCAGUUACGAAAAAAAAUAACAUCUUAGCUAAAAUUGCCGGCUUAUGGAAUUUGGCCAACUUUACUGUGAUUUUAUCAACAUCAAAAUUACAUUGAAGCAAACAUUCUAAACCACCACCAGAGUCAAAUAAAUACUUAGCGAAGACAUUUCAAAUACUGCUCUUGUUCUUUAACAUACUUCAGAAUCCAAUUUAUUUUUAAAAGUAUAAUUUAGAGUAUUGAAAUCUAAAACCUCAAGACCUCCUUGUUCUUGGAUAUUAGUGAGAAUAUCUUUUCGUAGAUAGUGAGGCUUGUUCCUCAGAAAAUGAUAAAGAAUCUUAUCUAAGUCCUUUAUAAUUUUAGGGGGUAAGUCAAGUGAUAACGAGACAUAAACCGAUCUGGAUAACCCUUCAGCUUUGGAUAAUAAAACCCGACCGUAUUACGAAAUAUCUCUCAUCAACCAGAGGUUCAAUUUUUUUCUUUGUUUUCUCAUAAGUAACCUUAUCUUUAAUUGGGAUGCCAUAAACUUCCUGUAAAACACAAUCAUUGAGUGGAAAUAAGACUGACUUAUUGAUAUUAAUUUUCAAACCCGAAACUAAGGAAAAGUCUUCAAUACAGGAAACUGCUUUAGAAACCUCAUUCCUGUCUCUUAAAAAUAUGGUGGUAUCAUCAGCCAGUUGACAUAGUUUAAAUUCAUUGCAAAGUGCUGAAACACAUUGAAAAUCCCCUUUCUUGAUAUGAAGAGCCAUAAUUUGAGUAACAAAUAAAAAUGGUCUAAUUGGGCAGCCCUGCCUAAUUCCACGGCCAAUAUCAAAUCUAUGGGAUGUCCCGUGAGAUAAUUUUACAGAGCUAGUACAACCACUAUAUCAAGUUUGGACUGCUUUCAAAAAUAAGUCACCAAACCCCAAAUUACAUAUUGCUUUGAACAUAAACUCAUGUUCUACAGUGUCAAAAGCUUUAUAAAAAUCAACAAACAUAAGAAAACUAUCAUCAAGAAUGAGGUCAUUAUAGUCGAUCAUAUCUAUGAUCAACCUGAUGUUAUUACUAAUGUGUCGACCAUGCAUAAAACCAGAUUCUUCUUCAUCAAUUAUAUGAUGCAAGCCUUGUUUCAACCUCUUAGCAAAUACAAGGGCAAAUAAUUUCCCAUCAUUAUUUAACAGGCUAAUGGGUCUCCAGUUGUCUAUGUAAAGAGUAUUCUUAUUAGGUUUGGGAAUCAAAGUAAUUACACCUUUCUUUAAGGAAGCCGGUAACUCCCCUUUUUCUAUUUAAUCUUGAAACAUAGCAAUGAAAGGAAUCAAUUUAUCAUUGAAUGCUUUAUUAAACUCGCUUAUUAAACCAUAAUUUCCAGGGGACCUAUUGUCCUUAAGGCUUUUAAUACAGUCUUUUAUCUCAAUUUCAGAUAACACAUCAUCACAAAAAUCCCUGAAAUCAUUAUCUAUCUUCUUAGCAAUGUUUGCUACAUUGUCUAAGAAAAGAUCCAUAUUGAAAGUUGGCUGGGCUGAUGUAUACAGAUUCUGAUAAAACUGGGCAACAUGCUGAGAUAUUUCUUUUGGAUUUUCAUUGGGAGUAUUAUUAACCAUUAAUGUACAGCAGAAAGUAGUUGGUGCCAUUGGUGUUAACAGUGGUGAUGGGCAUUCCGGCUCUUCUCAGUGAGCCGGCUCAUUCGGUUCAGCUCACCAAAAAAGAGCCGGCUCUUUUGGCUCCCAAACGGCUCUUAAAAUUAUUUUUUUCAAGUCAAACAGUUUGCGAUAGUUUGACUAUGAUUGGUGUUAAAACAAUUUAUUUAAAAAUACAUUGGUUUGUUAUUAAAAAGAAUGCUAUUAAACAUUUGCAUUUAAAGUAUAACGUUUUAAUGUUUAUAAACAAAGUGCAUAUAAAUCUAACCUAUUUAAACAAAUACAAUCUGAGCAGCAUAAUAGAAUAUUGCACCAUAUCAAAGAAAAAUAAAUAACAAUUUGCAAAACUGCAGCAUCCCACAAAUUUUAAUAAAUGUAAAAAAGAAGGAUGCUAUUACACAUGGGUAUUUAAAGUAUAACUUUUGAAUGUAUAUAAACAAAGUGCAUAUAAAUGUAAUAAUUCAAAACUAAUACCAUCUGAACAACAUAAUAAAAUAAUAUUGCACCAUAUCAAAGAAAAAUAAAUAACAAUGUGCAAAACUGCAGCAUCCCACUUAAAACAUUAAACUGGUCUUUUCUCUCUGUUCUUUUUUGCCAUGUUAUAACCAGCAGCAUACAGCAACGGUGAACAUAUUUAGCUUUUAUGAGAGAUUUGUAUUCAGAAAUGCAAGCUGCUUCACAUUUGAGGGCCUGAUGCAGUUUCUUCUCUCAGUAAUUCUUUUUCCCGUUUUCGAGGAGAGCCUCUCAGAGGGAACAGAUGUGACCACUAUGCAGAGCCUCCCUGUCAUGACUUUAGUAAGCCGUGGGUAGACAGAGGCCUUGUUCAACCACCAGCUCAGAGGAUCUGCAGAUCUUUAGAGGAGGGGCUUCUCCAAAUAGGAUCGGACCUCCAUUAUGGCAUCUGCUGAGGGAUUCCUUCGUGCUGCAUACCCAGUUGCUCUCUCGUCAAACAGUAUCUAAACAGCAGACGUUUGUGGCACUACUGCUGGUGCAUCUGCUCCAUCUGAUCCCUCUUCUUCCUGUUGCCCUGGUGCUUGAGCCAGCUGGCUGCUGGGGCUGUCCCUCCCUGCUGCUGAGGUUAUUCUUAGAAGAGCCUCAUCAAUCGCUCUGGCAUCACUGAAGGCUAACUUCUUAAACCUGGAGUGGAAUAAGUGAAAGGGUUUUCUGGCUCGGAAUUGUGUACAUUGGAUUUAGACUAUUGCUAUAAUUUCUAAAACCUCUGUCCUCCACGAUCGAAAAUGGCUUGAAAUCCGUGCCAAUCAUUUUAACCAAUGCAAUAUCAAUUUGGCCUUGUUUUGCUACAGACAUAGACUUUGGCAUAAACUGGUCCAUAGAAGACUGCGUUGCUGUGGGUUGCGGAGUAGGCCUUCUUGACUGAGUGGAUACAUCUCCCACGUGUGGAGGUGCUGGCUCCACCACUAUCACUAGCAGGACUGCUAGUUUCCCGAAGCUCCAUUACAGGUAGCUUCACAGUUGGGUGCACAGUUCACAUAUUUUUAUUUUAUUUAUUUCACCUUUAUUUAACCAGGUAGGCUAGUUGAGAACAAGUUCUCAUUUGCAACUGCGACCUGGCCAAGCUGAAGCAAAGCAGUUUGACACAUACAACAAUGCAGAGUUACACAUGGAAUAAACAAACAUUACAAUCAAUAAUACAGUAGAAAAGGUCUAUAUACAGUGUGUGCAAAUGAGGUAGGAUAAGAGAGAUACGGCAAUAAAUAAGCCAUGGUGGCGAAGUAAUUACAAUAUAGCAAUUAAACACUGGAAUGGUAGAAUGUGCAGAAGAUGAAUGUGCAAGUAGAGAUACUGGGGUGCAAAGGAGCAAGAUAAAUAAACACAAUAUGGGGAUGAUGUAGAUUGGAUGGGCUACUUACAGAUUAGCAAUGUACAGGUGCAGUGGUCUGUGAGCUGCUCUGACAGCUGGUGCUUAAAGCUAGCAAGGGAGGUAAGAGUCUCCAGCUUUAGCGAUUUUUGCAGUUCGUUCCAGUCACAGGCAGCAGAGAACUGUAAGGAGAGGCGGCCAAAGGAAGAAUUGGCUUUGGGGGUGACCAGUGAGAUAUACAUGCUGGAGCGUGUGCUACGGGUGGGUACUGCUAUGGUGACCAGUGAGCUGAGAUAAGGCGGGGAUUUACCUAGUAGAGACUUGUAGAUGACCUGGAGCCAGUGGGUUUGGCGAUGAGUAUGAAGCGAUGGCCAGCCAACGAUAGCGUACAGGUCGCAGUGGUGGGUAGUAUAUGGGGCUUUGGUGACAAAACAGAUGGCACUGUGAUAGACUGCAUCCAAUUUGUUGAGUGGAGUGUUGGAGGAAAUUUUGUAAAUGACAUCGCCGAAGUCAAGGAUCGGUAGGAUGGUCAGUUUUACGAGAGUAUGUUUGGCACCAUUAGUGAAGGAUGCUUUGUUGCGAAAUAGGAAGCCGAUUCUAGAUUUAAUUUUGAAUUGUAGAUGGGCAAUUUGACUGACUAGUGGACAUUGAGGAGCUUCCUGAGAAAGCUGUCCUAGAGGUAAUCAGAUCCGAAAGUAAUGCUGGAACUGUAAACAGAGAUACUGGCCCAUACCAGAGAGUCUCCAGAGCGCCCAGAGAAGUGGCCGGAUGGCUUUCUGGUGCCAUCUUUUUCUUAUGAUAUUGAGCACCUGCUUAGAUAGGGAAAUACUUGUUAUGAGAACUCGAAAGAGCCCAGAAGCAUGGCGUUCUUGAGAACAUACUGUAGCUAAAGCGAAACACCGUUUCAAGGCCUAUCCGAGUGGGGGAGAAAUAGGCAAGGCUGCCUAAGUGCUUGUUACCAAGCACCCAUGUCUCAAAGAAGCAGGGAGUCGUUCUGGAUGGUAUGCAUGGAUGACAAGUCAGAAGCUCAAGAUGGGGAACUAUCGGACCAAGUUGAGCAGAGCUGGAGUUCCUGAGGUCUCUGUGGAUACAGUGAAGAGGAGCAUAAACAACCCAGAGAUAGAGUCACUCCACUCAAACAUCAAGAGACCAAGACGAGGUGAGGUAAACUUCCUGCCAUACUUCCCAAGAGGGAAAGACCCAGAGUCUCUUAAGCAGCUGAAACAGCAAAUUAUCAACAAAGUUUCAAAGACAGAGAGAAAUCUAACAUUAAUAGACAAAUCAGGGCAGACAAAAUGAGAUCAUUCUGAAGAGCCGAUUUUACGGCGAACUAGACAGACACACUCCCCCGACUGAUUGCCUUGUUCAGGCAGAGGGCAGCACUGACAUGCCAUGCAGCAGAGGCUAUGAGAAGUGUCUUAAGGAUCUAUGAUCUCCAGGAAGGAGCAACUUGACAUGAACACCAGGCUCACUGCUGCCCUUUGUGGUCUCCCCAUCUACCUUUGUGAGGAAAGCACUGGAAUGUGGAGGAAACUGAAGAGCCAGACAUUACAGACACACCUGUCGCUCUCCUCACAGUCGUGAGCGAGAGCUAAGCUGAUCAUGUCCAGUUCAACUCAGCAAGGAUUGCUGUUGUGCUAGCUAGAAGGUGACAUUGUAAUGAAUGAUGUCCCCAGGUCGGCUGAUGCAAUUAUGUUGUUAUUUGGUUUGAUUUCUGAGUUAUCCCAAGCAUCUGAUCCACACUUUUGACUUAAUAAAAAAAGUCUGAUGGGCUUGGAUAAUGGGAAAAUGCUUAAGCCCAAGCUUUUGUCUCUGAAAAAAGACCGAUUGAAGCAAGAUUAAUGAUGUAUGGGUAUUUGCAUUUACAGAUAUUUACCAUCACUGAGGUUGUCUCAGACUCAUGCCCUUACAUGGCUGCAAGGCCUUUCUCGUAGAUACAUCUUUAAUGUGUGGCUCCACAUUGUCUCAUCAUUGUCUCCACUUUUAUCUCCCUCACCAACCUCAAACAUGUGCUAUCUGAGCAGCUAACCGAUCGCUGCAGCUGUACAUAGUCUAUUGGUAAAUAGCCCACCCAUUUUCACCUACCUCAUCCCCAUACUGUUUUUAUUUAUUUACUUUUCUGCUCUUUUGCACACCAAUAUCUCUACCUGUACAUGACCAUCUGAUCAUUUAUCACUCCAGUGCUAAUCUGCAAAAUUGUAAUUAUUCGCCUACCUCCUCAUGCCUUUUGCACACAAUGUAUAUAGACUCCCCCUUUUUUGUACUGUGUUAUUGACUUGUUAAUUGUUUACUCCAUGUGUAACUCUGUGUUGUCUGUUCACACUGCUAAGCUUUAUCUUGGCCAGGUCGCAGUUGCAAAUGAGAACUUGUUCUCAACUAGCCUACCUGGUUAAA
This is a long non-coding RNA of Oncorhynchus masou masou (cherry salmon), 6409 nucleotides long. RefSeq lists it as uncharacterized. The record is from RefSeq and is a predicted model, not a curated record. The transcript has 3 exons. NCBI's taxonomy places the organism in Eukaryota, Metazoa, Chordata, Actinopteri, Salmoniformes, Salmonidae.